AUGCAGGUUACAGAAGAGGAAGAACAAGACUCCCGACUGCCGUCAGUCUGUAAUAGUUUAAAUAUAGCCUCGGUGAAAGUAGCCGAGAUGAAGCGGUCCCUCUGGAGCCCAGAGCUGUCUGUCUAUUCGCAGGCUGCCCAUUCACCAAACCUGAAACAGAUGGACAGGCAGCAAGCCCUUGAACGCAGAGCAGAUGAUACCGAAUCCCUACACUCUCCACUGAGCAAACAGAGAAAGGAGAUAACAAGCACAUUUUCCUUUCAUUUCCCUUCCCUGUCUGCUUGGUUAGACGCAAUUGCACCCCUCGCCCCUGGAUGUGCAGCAUCAGACACAAAUACCUGGCUAGAAGCUGUCCUGGGAGCGGGCAGCUUCCCUGCUGGGCUUGCGGCCGGUCCCACUGCUGCCCUGGCAGCCAGCAUGCCACGCUGGGCCACACUGCCGCUGGUGUCCCCCACCGCCAGUGUCCCUGCCACCGGUGUCCCCCGCGAGCUCCAGCUCCCCGCUGCCCGCCUGCCCGCCUCGCUUUGGGGUGGGCUGCGCUGGGGACCCCGGUGGGGACAGGAGCGGACACAGUCUGUCUCGGGGCUUGUUGGGCAACACACAGGUGGGCCGACACUUUGCCAUAGACAUCUGCGCAAAGAUGAAGCACCAGAAGGAGAAAAUAUGCUGAUAGACAUAAAUGAGGCUGCGAUAAUGAACCAACAUCCAACACUUCCAGCGAUGAGUAAUAGGCAGGCAGAUCAAACAGGCGCCCUGUUAGGGGUAGGCAGCAAGAGAAGGAAAGAGCCCUGUCCCCUCCCUCUCCCCACACGCUUUUUCUCCCUCUCUCUCCCCUCUUCUCUCCCUCUCUUUCCCUCCUCCCCCUGCAUAAAUGUUUCAUCCAGGAUAAUGUCUCUCUUCAUGAGGAGAGAAAGAAUUAAAUAUUUCACGAGACUGCAGUCAGUCUUGGAGGGCCCUUCUGUUGACAUUUCAAACAUAUAUUUGACAUUGCUUUCUCAUUCCCUCUUGGUGGAGCAGAGAGCUCUACAGAAAGCACAUUAUCCUCGGAGAGCGGGAACGCUGCGUGCCAGCCACGCCAUCUUAAUGGGAAGCAAAAUGGAGGGAGCAGGCCUUCCCUACCACUCUGCAUUGCCUCCCUCUUCUCUGUCUCCUUUUCCCUUUCUCUUCUUCCUUUCUCCUCCUGAGUGUCCCUGUCCAUCUGCCUCUCCCUUCCCAGCUCUUCAGGAGCACAGUCAGUCCCUGCCCUGCUUUUUGUCUCUUUCCUACAGCAAAGCUUGA
Molecule: long non-coding RNA, 1278 nt
Filed under: Apteryx haastii (Great spotted kiwi)
Lineage: Eukaryota; Metazoa; Chordata; Aves; Apterygiformes; Apterygidae
Description: lncRNA (ENSAHAG00000018001.1)
Source: RNAcentral